CAGUAGCCACGGUAAUACGUAGGGGGCAAGCGUUAUCCGGAAUUACUGGGUGUAAAGGGAGCGUAGACGGUUAAACAAGUCUGAAGUGAAAUGCCGGGGCUCAACCCCGGAGCUGCUUUGGGAACUGUAGAACUGGAGUGUCGGAGGGGUAAGCGGAAUUCCCAGUGUAGCGGUGAAAUGCGUAGAUAUUGGGAGGAACACCGGCGGCGAAGGCGGCUUACUGGACGACAACUGACGUUGAGGCUCGAAGGCGUGGGUAGCAAACAGGAUUAGAGACCCCUGUAGUCCCUGUCUCUUAUAC
This 301-nucleotide ribosomal RNA is filed under the name uncultured bacterium. RNAcentral describes it as "partial 16S ribosomal RNA". It matches the Rfam family "Bacterial small subunit ribosomal RNA", at positions 509 to 807 of the family's 1533-position model. The record is from RNAcentral.